GAUGAACGCUAGCGAUAGGCUUAACACAUGCAAGUCGAGGGGCAGCAUGGUCUUAGCUUGCUAAGACUGAUGGCGACCGGCGCACGGGUGCGUAACGCGUAUGCAACUUGCCUCACAGAAGGGGAUAACCCGUCGAAAGACGGACUAAUACCGCGUACACUUGGGAUAGGGCAUCCUGACCCAAGGAAAUGAAAUUCGCUGUGAGAUAGGCAUGCGUCCCAUUAGCUAGUUGGUGAGGUAACGGCUCACCAAGGCGACGAUGGGUAGGGGAACUGAGAGGUUGAACCCCCACACUGGUACUGAGACACGGACCAGACUCCUACGGGAGGCAGCAGUGAGGAAUAUUGGUCAAUGGGCGAGAGCCUGAACCAGCCAAGUCGCGUGAAGGAUGACUGUCUUAUGGAUUGUAAACUUCUUUUAUACGGGAAUAACAAGAGCCACGUGUGGCUCCCUGCAUGUACCGUAUGAAUAAGCAUCGGCUAACUCCGUG
This 490-nucleotide ribosomal RNA is filed under the name uncultured bacterium. RNAcentral's name for it is "partial 16S ribosomal RNA". It matches the Rfam family "Bacterial small subunit ribosomal RNA", at positions 28 to 507 of the family's 1533-position model. The record is from RNAcentral.